UCCCAGUUCGGAUUGUAGUCUGCAACCCGACUACAUGAAGCUGGAAUCGCUAGUAAUCGCGGAUCAGAAUGCCGCGGUGAAUACGUUCCCGGGUCUUGUACACACCGCCCGUCACACCAUGGGAGUCGGAAAUGCCCGAAGUCUGUGACCCAACCUACGGGAGGGAGGCAGCCGAAGGCAGGUCGGAUGACUGGGGUGAAGUCGUAACAAGGUAGC
Molecule: ribosomal RNA, 216 nt
Filed under: uncultured bacterium
Lineage: Bacteria
Description: partial 16S ribosomal RNA
Rfam family: Bacterial small subunit ribosomal RNA
Source: RNAcentral